Cephus cinctus (wheat stem sawfly) is the source of this 2116-nucleotide long non-coding RNA. RefSeq lists it as uncharacterized. The transcript has 7 exons. The record is from RefSeq and is a predicted model, not a curated record. Lineage: Eukaryota; Metazoa; Arthropoda; Insecta; Hymenoptera; Cephidae.
GAGAGUGCACCAGAGUGCGCCACGCUCUAUGGUGAAAUAAGAAAACUGAGUCGUAAAUCGACGUGGAGCAGUGGCAGUGUACCUUCUCGGAUGAAAAGUUCAAAAAGGUUUUCCGCCUUAUAACGUUACUACCAACGUCCUUUUAUAAGAGUACCAACCUGUUACCUAUAUCCAUCCGCAAUAGUGAAAACGUGGCUGUGGUAAAGUGAUUGCUUCUCAAAUAGGUUAUGCUACUUGUGGCAAGUACGGCCGUCCUCGUGGGAAUCGUCGGAAGUGUUCGGGAGAGUUCGGAUUUUUUGUAAUGGCGGAACGUAACGACUGCCAAUUGACGUGUGUGCUCAGUCCCUAAUAAUGAGUCGUGUUCCUUUCGGGGAUGCUUACCAAGGACACAAAGAAUUCAAAGAGAAGCAUCUGGCUGAUACGGCGCAUUACCCCGGAUAAAGGGGGUAGUACUCUACCAUAGUGGGAUAAUCUGAACUUAACUCGGCAUACGUUUAUCCCGAUUUUGAAGGUGAGUUUCGACCAUGGUGGAUUCGCCUUGAUGUGACAUUCAAAAUAUACGUCGUCACCCUCCUUAAUGUCCUGGGCGUUAAGGGUGGAUCCUAAUCGCAACGAGACUAUUGGUGGAUCUGAAAGAAAAAAAAAAAAUAUUGGUACUACGAAUUGUUUACUACACUUUGUGUUUGACUUUGUCAACGGAAAUUCUCAUUUGUUAUUGUUGAGACCUGUGUACCUGGGAAACUAUGGUGAAUUAUUAAAGAAUUCUCCACGUCACUUUUCUUCCAGUAAGAUACUGUAAAUACAAGCACCGACGAGUAUUUACAAAUCCUGCUAUUUCUCCAUGACUAACUGGCAGCAGCGGUGGCGACGUCGGUGAGGAAAAAGCAAAACAACUCAAAGUGACAAGCACAACAAUGGCUGCCAGUAGUUUAUCCCGGAUAUAUAUUACGGGACAUAGAUAUUAUCCUCGAAAGUCUUUCUUCUCGACCGGUGGAAAAUAUUAUUCGCUAAGGAAAAUUCUUAUUUCGUUGAGACGACAAGGAAAGUAAUUAAAAUCUGGAGUCGCCGUAAAUCGUAGCAUCGCGUCAUGUAACGGGUGUCUGAGAAACAUUCCAAGGAUCGCACUGCCAAGUUCCAUCACUGGCUUGAGAAGUUGGCCAGUCCUUGGCGACACUCGCUGAUCCUUCAUCAAAUGUGAACUUGCUCCGGAAAGUGACAGGAAGAAAUAUAGCGGGUGUACUUUUUUAAAAAAUUUUUUUACCCUUAGCACCAUUGCAGCGCGGAGCAGUUCACGUGGCGCAGCGCUUUAUUAAGGUUGUCUCACGAAAUUUCAUCAGGACGAUAGCGGCUUAAGGUUUCUCUACUUCUUGUAAUCUACCCCAACCCUCAUGAGGCUUCUUACGUUUCUUCAGUCAGGGAACUGACGGGGGAUGCUACCCGGGGGGGGCGUGGACCCGGAUGACGCCUUUCGUGAACUCUACCAGUAUGUAUCUAGGUGGCUGAGGAGACGGACCAAGGGUACCGAGUUUCAAAGGGGCGUAAUUUCAUGGAUCUACGAGGACGGUCAGCGUAAUUGAAUACGUGCCGUGACGUCAUUUCCCGUACUCCGCACUUUUACAGAGUCCCAACUUCACGUAAACGAUCCUCGGGAUUCGACGGAAGUGACGACCUAAGAGUGUCUUCGACUUUGGAAUAUAAAGUUUUUUAUACCAUAGGUGAACAAUGCUAUAUUUAUAUCUCUAAAAUUAUCGUCGAGAGGAUGUUCCUUACAAAUUGCAUAUCCGGAAUGACUGUCGAUAGAUUUAAAAAAAAAAGGUACCUACCACCCCUAAGGUCCGCACGUAGGAAUUCAAGCCAUUGACAUAUUGAUAGUAAUCGGGGCUAAAAUGGCUUCCGCGCGAACGACACGAUAAAAGGCGAAGCGAAGAAAAAACUCGUUUAAAGUAAAUUUCUUAGGGCAAUACAAGGCCGAGGGUUUUGAAGUCGAGUCGGGGGGACCUUAGGGGGGUAAACUUUACGAGCGAGUAUGAAUGUAAUUUCAUGAUAAAUUUUUGCCGCUCAAUAAAAUCCUGCGGUAUCGUGGCGUCGCGGAAGAAUGACUAAAAAUGGAGGUUAG